AACAUUGCCUGUAGAUACUUUAUUACAGGUACAUCCUGCCCAGUGACACAACGUGUUCAACGGCCGCGGUACCCUGACCGUGCAAAGGUAGCAUAAUCACUCGCCCUUUAAUUGGGGGCUGGAAUGAACGGACACACGAAAGAUACACUGUCUCCUUUUUACCCAUAAAAACUAACCUUCAGGUGAAGAGGCCUGAAUUCUAUAAAAGGACAAGAAGACCCUAUUGAGCUUUACUUUUAAACUUACUUUAUAAACUGCCAGCAAACUAACCUAGUAAGCCUAAAGUUUGGUUGGGGCGACCAAGGAACACACUAAACUUCCUUUUAAUACCUAGCUAACUAGCUUAUCAUGAUCCGAUUUUCGAUUAAAGAAAAAAGCUACCAUAGGGAUAACAGGCUAAUCCUCCUAGAGAGCUCCCAUUGAUAGGAGGGGUUGGCACCUCGAUGUUGGCUUAGGGUAUCCCACUGGUGUAGCAGCCAGUAAAGGUGGGUUUGUUCAACCCGUAACACCCUACGU
This 516-nucleotide ribosomal RNA is filed under the name Ophelina acuminata. RNAcentral's name for it is "partial 16S ribosomal RNA". It matches the Rfam family "Bacterial large subunit ribosomal RNA", at positions 1812 to 2601 of the family's 2925-position model. Lineage: Eukaryota; Metazoa; Annelida; Polychaeta; Opheliidae. The record is from RNAcentral.